AGGCCUACAAGGAAAGCGAGGGCUGAGGAAGGACGGCGGGAGGACUGCAGAGGGAGGCAGGCAGAGUGAGGGCGGCAGGCAGACAGCAGGAGAAGCAAAUCCUAGGAACAAUCACGUGAGCUUGGAAGGAGACCUUUCCCCAGCUGAGCCUCAGCCUGGGCCAUCACCUGCAUCUGGACUGAAGACCCAAAGAAACUACUCCAUCAGGAAUUGUUUGAGACCAUGCAUUAUGUGGACACUCAUAUCGUGGAAUUAUAUUGCCAAUUGGCAUUCCUAAAGCUUCUACGCUAGCAGGUUUGGAGUAAUUCACCAGUGAAGUCUUCUCAACCUGGGCAAUCAUGUGAGCUUGGAAGAUGAUGCAUCCCCAUCUCAUCUUUCAGGUGAAACCUCAGCCUUGGCCAUCACCUACAUCUGGAUUUCUGACCCAGAGAAACUGUGUGAAGGCUGGUCUUAAACUCCUGACCUCAAGUGAUGGACCUGUCUUGGCUUCCAAAAGUGCUGGAAUUACAGGCAUGAGCCACCAUGCCCUGCUAUGAGGUCUUGUUCCUUUGGCCAGGCUGGAGUGCAGUGGCACAGUCAUCACUCACUGUAGCUUCAAACACCUGGGUUCCAGCAUUCAUCCCACUUCAGCCUCCCGUGUAGCCGGGACUACAGAUCCCUACCUUUUUUGUUGGAGAAUGAAAUUUAAAAUGAAGAUUUGGGCACUCAUUGGUUGUACACAUUGUUACUGGUGAACGUGUUGAUUGGAGGCCUUCCUAGCUAACAGAGCAAAGAGUAAAUAUACACAUAUGUUUACAAAUUUCUACAAGUCUCCAUAUGUAUCUGCAUUAAAUUAAACAUGAAUUCCUGCAGCGUCCUCAGUCCCACACGAUCUUAUUCAGCACCAUGUGAAUCUGUCUACCCAUCUCACUAAUCUAUAUGUAGCCUACCACUGUAAUAUUUAACCACCUGAAAAUGCAGGCAUAGUGGUUUCAGAAUAAGAAACACACAACCCCAUGAGAAACACCCUUACCACCUGUUUAUGUAUACCAACUGCUUAUGUAUAAAUCCUUUAGCCUUUAGACAGAAUCUGCACUUAUUAUGCAAGUUGCUUAGGAAGGCUUAUUUUUCCCCUUCCUUCAGUGGAUUAUUUCAUAGAUUUGUAUAAAGUAUUUUCUCUGCAUUUCUUCCUGGACUGUUCCUAUCUACUAAAUAAGUUAUUUUGUUAAUUUACAUACUUUUAGCUUCACUCUUUGUGUUAUAAAGUUUUCUGGGAGUUGAAAAACUGUACCUUUUAUCCACGUUACAGUAGCAUACAUAAUAAUAUACAAAGAGAAAUUUUCUAUCUUUACAGAUUUGUCUUUCCUUUUUGCUGAGACCCGGGUAACCAAUAAACUCUUUACUGUCUUUAUA
Molecule: long non-coding RNA, 1392 nt
Organism: Homo sapiens (human)
Lineage: Eukaryota; Metazoa; Chordata; Mammalia; Primates; Hominidae
Gene: PWRN4
Product: Prader-Willi region non-protein coding RNA 4
Source: Ensembl